UUACAUUGCUUAUAAAUAACUUUAUCCAAUUAAGUGUUUUUGAAUGUGUGCAUGUGUAAUGUAUGAAAUUGUUUGACUGAUUUUAUCUACGAUAAUUGUUCAAUUCACCAGUAAACGCGAGAUAUGUCGAGAGAAUAAAUAUCUAGGAGCUCAUUUUUUAUUCGUGUUGCAUUCCGAACAUGAUUUGUGAUGCGCAUGACAGUAACACGGAAACUGCAUGUUUAUUUUUGAUAACGCUUUAACACGAAUUAAACCCUUGCAAAUAUUUAAUUGUAGAUCGUUUACUGUGUAUAAGAUGGAGGACCAGGAGAUGCAACUGAAAGUUAAAAGAGUGACUGACAAAUUCACGGAAAACAUGUACGUGUUGGCUAACGAGCCAUCAGUGGCUCUUUAUCGACUGCAAGAACACGUUAGAAGGUCCCUCCCAGAGCUAGUACAACACAAAACAGAUAUGCAGAGCUGGGAGGAGCAAAGCCAAGGAGCAAUCUACACUGUGGAAUAUGCAUGCAGUGCAGUGAAAAGCAUGACAAACAGCAGCCUGUACUUCAAAAGCAUCGAUGGCCUCCUUCGUCAAGCCAUCAGCAUGAAGGAACAGAUCAGCACCUCCCAGGGGCGCAGCGCACAUGAAGCGACCCCCUCUCCCAUUCCCCCUGCCACUCCACCACAUCCCCCAUCCACUUCCUCCUGACCUCUGGAAGACGCUGUCCAAGGUUAGUCGUUCCUCAGGCAUCACUCAAAGCUAUACUUGGACUCAAGGACUUCUAGGCACUCUCUUGACUUUCAACAGGAGAAGAACCACAGACCCAAGAGUGCUGAAGGAAGGAGGAGAGAAACACAGCUCUGGGACAUGAUGAUGAUGACGACAUUGUGGCAUUGCAGUGAGGCUCUGGCUAAGUUCCCUCUGAAAGGGAGAUGUGGGGUCAGGAGGUCAUUCACCCUACCAUCACAAUGGUGCCCUGCCCCCACCACCUCAACAAGAGACUCAAUGGAAUGGAAAGCCAGCAGCUUUGCUUUGCCAGGACAUGCAUUAACAUGUCAAAGUCAUUAUUUUGGGCCUUGUGUAUCAAUCAAUUGGAGGGACUCUGAAAGUAGUGACUUUUGCCUCUGCUGCAAAUUAACUGGAAAAUAUCUGUAGGAAUCUAAAUUAAGUUUUCCUUUCUAGGAUCACAACUAUUUGGUAGAAGCUGUUAAUUGUUUAGCCGUUGGUCUAAACGUAUGUAAUGUCUGAUAAUUUAGCUAAAGCAGAUUAAUUUAAAAGCUUGCACGUGAGGUUCAUUUGUAUUUAUUAUGGAACCCCAUUAGCUGCUGCCAAAGCAACAGCUACACUUCUUGGGAUCCAGCAAAAAAUAAAUGCAGUAAUAUAUAUUAGAAUAUAAUUUUAAACAUUAAAAUAAAUGUUACAACAUAUUAACUGUCUCUCUGCAGGCCACUACUCUAAUGCAACACACUAUCCAGGUGUGUGUGUGUGUGUGUGUGUGCGCAUAUAUGUGUGUCGGGUACCUGUGUGUGUACAUAUGUACCCAUGUGUGUGUGACGCUUCAGUCCUCACUGUUCCAUAAGGUGUAUUUGUCUUUUUUAAAUCUGAUUUUAUUGCUUUUGGGAGUUACUUGAUGUGGAAUAGAGUUAUGUGGGCUGACUACUGUGUACAUAAUGCUACCAAAUAUGUAGCAGUUUGUUACUUUUGAUUUUGCCAAUGAGUUUUGGGUGACACGUGUUAAGACCAGCUGGAUGCAGAUUGCUUUGUUCCACAAUAUGUUCUGGUCAUUAACUAGGCCUUACCGUUAUUUGUUGGUCUUACCUGCUAAGUAUACUGAAACCCCAAGGCAAAAUAGUCCGAUGGCCACAUGUCGGACAGCUCGGCUAUCCAAUAGGAACCAGUCUGCUCUGUGGGAGGAAAUGAAGCAAAUGCAAUCAGCUACAUGACCAUACUAUUUGUGGAAAGUGCUAAAUUAUGUAUUUAGACCAAAAUAAAUCAAUUCAAGGUUGCAAUUAGGCCUUCUGUCCAUAA
RNA transcript from Oncorhynchus mykiss (rainbow trout), 2008 nucleotides. It is a transcript of the gene named BLOC-1 related complex subunit 8, with no coding region annotated. The record is from RefSeq and is a predicted model, not a curated record. NCBI's taxonomy places the organism in Eukaryota, Metazoa, Chordata, Actinopteri, Salmoniformes, Salmonidae.